Non-coding RNA from Solanum lycopersicum (tomato), 159 nucleotides. The record is from Rfam. Lineage: Eukaryota; Viridiplantae; Streptophyta; Magnoliopsida; Solanales; Solanaceae.
AUACUUAACUUGACGGGGUCAUUUGGUGAUCAUUAAGGCAUGUCCUAGGCUUGUUGCCUUCAUUGCACUUUGGAGUGGUGCUUGCCUAAUGUCGGCCCAAGUGGUCGAGUCUACGUUAUAAUUUGUUGCUGAGGGGGCCUGCUUUCGCGCGGCCCCUAC